RNAcentral lists this ribosomal RNA (746 nucleotides) under uncultured bacterium. RNAcentral describes it as "bacterial SSU rRNA". It matches the Rfam family "Bacterial small subunit ribosomal RNA", at positions 33 to 773 of the family's 1533-position model. The record is from RNAcentral.
ACGCUGGCGGCAUGCCUUACACAUGCAACGUCGAACGGCAGCACGGAGCUUGCUCUGGUGGCGAGUGGCGAACGGGUGAGUAAUAUAUCGGAACGUACCCUAGAGUGGGGGAUAACGUAGCGAAAGUUACGCUAAUACCGCAUACGAUCUAAGGAUGAAAGUGGGGGAUCGCAAGACCUCAUGCUCGUGGAGCGGCCGAUAUCUGAUUAGCUAGUUGGUAGGGUAAAAGCCUACCAAGGCAUCGAUCAGUAGCUGGUCUGAGAGGACGACCAGCCACACUGGAACUGAGACACGGUCCAGACUCCUACGGGAGGCAGCAGUGGGGAAUUUUGGACAAUGGGCGAAAGCCUGAUCCAGCAAUGCCGCGUGAGUGAAGAAGGCCUUCGGGUUGUAAAGCUCUUUUGUCAGGGAAGAAACGGUGAGAGCUAAUAUCUCUUGCUAAUGACGGUACCUGAAGAAUAAGCACCGGCUAACUACGUGCCAGCAGCCGCGGUAAUACGUAGGGUGCAAGCGUUAAUCGGAAUUACUGGGCGUAAAGCGUGCGCAGGCGGUUUUGUAAGUCUGAUGUGAAAUCCCCGGGCUCAACCUGGGAAUUGCAUUGGAGACUGCAAGGCUAGAAUCUGGCAGAGGGGGGUAGAAUUCCACGUGUAGCAGUGAAAUGCGUAGAUAUGUGGAGGAACACCGAUGGCGAAGGCAGCCCCCUGGGUCAAGAUUGACGCUCAUGCACGAAAGCGUGGGGAGCAAAC